This 104-nucleotide small nucleolar RNA is filed under the name Pseudomassariella vexata. Its description in RNAcentral is "A. fumigatus snoRNA Afu_514". It matches the Rfam family "A. fumigatus snoRNA Afu_514". The record is from Rfam by way of RNAcentral. Lineage: Eukaryota; Fungi; Ascomycota; Sordariomycetes; Amphisphaeriales; Pseudomassariaceae.
UUGAAUGAUGAGGUAAUUUGCGAUUGAUUCCAUGUCGGUGGCUCCCUCGCCGGGGACGCUAUAUCGGAUGGAAAUGUGAUAUUCAAUUCUUACAUAUUCUGACA